GAUCAUGGCUCAGGAUGAACGCUGGCGGCGUGCUUAACACAUGCAAGUCGAACGGAACGCCAAGGAAAGAGUUUUCGGACAAUGGAAUUGGUUGUUUAGUGGCGGACGGGUGAGUAACGCGUGAGUAACCUGCCUUGAAGUGGGGAAUAACACAGUGAAAACUGUGCUAAUACCGCAUGAUAUAUUGGUGUCGCAUGGCACUGAUAUCAAAGAUUUAUCGCU
RNAcentral lists this ribosomal RNA (222 nucleotides) under uncultured bacterium. RNAcentral's name for it is "partial 16S ribosomal RNA". It matches the Rfam family "Bacterial small subunit ribosomal RNA", at positions 15 to 219 of the family's 1533-position model. The record is from RNAcentral.